Non-coding RNA from Phthorimaea operculella (potato tuberworm), 69 nucleotides. NCBI's taxonomy places the organism in Eukaryota, Metazoa, Arthropoda, Insecta, Lepidoptera, Gelechiidae. The record is from the annotation of a GenBank genome assembly.
ACCGCGGUAGCCCAGUUGGUUAGGGCGUCGGCAGUACUGAUGCCGAAGGUUCAAAUCCUGCCUGCGGUG